This 461-nucleotide ribosomal RNA is filed under the name Porphyromonas endodontalis. RNAcentral's name for it is "bacterial SSU rRNA". It matches the Rfam family "Bacterial small subunit ribosomal RNA", at positions 28 to 477 of the family's 1533-position model. Lineage: Bacteria; Pseudomonadati; Bacteroidota; Bacteroidia; Bacteroidales; Porphyromonadaceae. The record is from RNAcentral.
GAUGAACGCUAGCGAUAGGCUUAACACAUGCAAGUCGAGGGGCAGCAUUAUUUUAGCUUGCUAAGAUAGAUGGCGACCGGCGCACGGGUGCGUAACGCGUAUGCAACCUGCCUGUAACUAGGGAAUAACCCGGUGAAAGUCGGACUAAUACCCUAUAUUCUUCUUUCUCCGCAUGGGGGAGGACGGAAAGAUUUAUUGAUUACAGAUGGGCAUGCGUCCCAUUAGCUAGUUGGUAAGGUAACGGCUUACCAAGGCAACGAUGGGUAGGGGGACUGAGAGGUUGACCCCCCACACUGGUACUGAGACACGGACCAGACUCCUACGGGAGGCAGCAGUGAGGAAUAUUGGUCAAUGGGCGAGAGCCUGAACCAGCCAAGUCGCGUGAAGGACGACGGUUCUAUGGAUUGUAAACUUCUUUUGUAGAGGAAUAACGGCAGCUACGUGUAGCUGAGAUGCAUGUA